CUCCAACUCACAGUGCCACACCGGCAGGCAAGGCAUCGUCGACCGACGGCGCGCCGCAGCAGCAGCUUCUAGCUCCAAACCGAACCAACACGUGCUAUCCACCAUGGAGGCGCCGCUGCACCAGUUCCCCUUCCCCGUGCCGCCGCCGCCGCAGCCGCAGGACGCGCUGCUGCAGCAGGCGGUGGCGGCGCGCGCGCUGAUGAUGGCCGGGAAAAGGGCGCCGCUGCAGGCUACCGCGGCGGCGGGACGGGAGCAGUGCCCGCGGUGCGCGUCGCGGGACACCAAGUUCUGCUACUACAACAACUACAACACGGCGCAGCCGCGGCACUUCUGCCGCGCGUGCCGCCGCUACUGGACGCUGGGGGGAUCCCUCCGCAACGUCCCCGUGGGCGGGUCCACGCGCAAGCGCCAGCGCCCGGCGCGGCCCACCCGCGCCAUGGCCGCCGCCGCCGCCACGGCGGCUACGCAAACGGCAACAACGACCGCCUGCAGCCCGUUCGCCGUCUCUCCAGCAACAAUGCUGAUACAGGGCGCGGCAGGCGGCGGCCUCCUCGUCAGCUCGCUGCUGCUGGGCUCGGCGUCCGCGUCACCGCUGCUCGCGCUCGGCACAGCGCCGCUGCUGGAAGGCCGGCUUGGCUUCGACCUCGGCCUCGGGGACGCAGCAGCGCUAGCAGCCGCCGACGGGACUCCUGGCGACUUGGCUCACCACCACCAGCCGCUGACGCUGGGCGCCGGGCCGCUCCCGUGGCCCGCAGCGACGAUCUUGGAGGGCGACCGCGUGGAGACGACGACGUGGAAAGCCUCUGCUGACGUGUUCCCCUUCCCGCCGGCGGCCGCGCUGUGGCAGGAGCUCGCGCCGGCGGUGGAGGCCGGUGGGCUGCACCACGGUGCCCCGCACCUGCUCCUGUGACACGCUCCCACGCACAUGAGGACGUGUACGUGAAUGAAGAUGUACUAUUCAUGUAGUUAUGUUCUGUUUAUUACAUGCGUGCAUGCAUGAUGCAUGAUGGCAGCUCCGUCGUCUGUCGUGUCUUGUGUUGGCUCAUUUUUCACGUGUGUUGGCUCAUUUUUCAAGUAUUUAUGG
This is an RNA transcript of Zea mays, 1084 nucleotides long. It is a transcript of the gene named dof zinc finger protein pseudogene, with no coding region annotated. The record is from RefSeq and is marked validated. Lineage: Eukaryota; Viridiplantae; Streptophyta; Magnoliopsida; Poales; Poaceae.